CAGUCGCCGCGGGAAUACGAAGGGGGCUAGCGUUGUUCGGAAUUACUGGGCGUAAAGCGCACGUAGGCGGAUUUUUAAGUCAGGGGUGAAAUCCCGAGGCUCAACCUCGGAACUGCCUUUGAUACUGGAGAUCUUGAGUUCGGAAGAGGUUGGUGGAACAGCUAGUGUAGAGGUGAAAUUCGUAGAUAUUAGCUAGAACACCAGUGGCGAAGGCGGCCAACUGGUCCGAUACUGACGCUGAGGUGCGAAAGCGUGGGGAGCAAACAGGAUUAGAUACCCCGGUAGUCCCUGUCUCUUAUAC
RNAcentral lists this ribosomal RNA (301 nucleotides) under uncultured bacterium. RNAcentral's name for it is "partial 16S ribosomal RNA". It matches the Rfam family "Bacterial small subunit ribosomal RNA", at positions 509 to 807 of the family's 1533-position model. The record is from RNAcentral.